AAUAAUUAAAACUAACUGUUUGAGGAUCCUGAAAUACCUAACAUAUGAAACCUGCUGAGGAGUAUAUAACAAAACACGAGCCACACACUUCUGAAUGAAGGACUCACAAGUUCAAAUGACUAAGAUAUUAUAGUUGAGAAAACAGAUUUAGAAUCAUCCAACUUACAAGGAAAAGUAACAUCCGUGUGCCUAUCAGUAGCAAUAUCCUAUUAAAAUCCUGGUUAAAUUCACCGGUGCCACCAUAAACGAACCGGCUGUGUAGAUUGAUUAUGACCGAAGGCAGUGCAAAGCUUAAACUGCCAUCAACGUCACAAUUUCAGCAAUAGAAAACAGUGAUAAAAAAAAAUAAAUAAUGCCUCAUUUUAGUUAACACCACGCUUAGUGAAUGGAAAGAACUGCAACUUAAGCAUAGGCAUGAACAAAUGUGUACUGUACACCGAUCAGGGUUGACGAAAUAGUAUAAAUAUGCAGUGCAUUUCUUAAUGAACUAUUGAUAUCCAUAGAUUGAAAACUAAUUGCUUGAGAAUCUUAAAAUACCUAACAUACGAAACCUGCUUAGGAGUAUCUAACAAAACACGAGCAAUUCACUUCUCAAUUAAGUAUAUAAAGUUCAAAUGCCUAAAAUAUGAUAGAUCAAAAAAUAAAUUCAGAACCAUCCAAUUUACAAAGAAAAGAAACAUCAUAAUGCCUAGCAUGAGCACCAUCCAUGCAGAGGAUUUGUCUUGAUUGUCACCAUCAACUUGACAAAAUCCGCAACAUGAAAUCAUGAACCUGCUGCAUCUGUCUUCUUCCGUUGUUUCCCUCCCUUGGCUGUUCUAGUGGCUGUACAAACAUCAUAGGCAAUAUCAGAAGAGUUCUCAAUAAAACAUAGUUGAUGAUGCAAUAUGAAACCCACAUCAAUUAAUACCAUAUCAAACCAACAUUCGAAGUAGUAAUUCUAACUACAGAAACAUCUAUUCGCUAGUUAUAGCAAUUCAGCAACAUCCAAUAAAAUGGUUCCUGAAGCUAAUCAUAGAUUACAAAACAAGAAUAAACCAUUUCAAAUUUUAUGUUCUAGGUAUCUAAUAAACACCAAGAGAUAUAGUAACACCACCAACAAAUAUUGGCAAAGAAACCAAAUUUACUUGCUGUUGUUUAUAAAAUCAGUUCAGACUCAAUUUCAGUUCGAAAAUAAAUCACAAUUAUUGUUCUUUUAAUUAGUUUGAAUGACUAAUAUUUCAAUAUACAUAUUCUUAAUUUAUUAAGUGCACGUGCAUAUAUGGAAAUUGAAUCCUUGCAAAGAACCGCUUACAGUUCAAUUUGAAAAAUGCAUACCAUAAGAAAUUUGCAGUUGUGUCUAUUUCACGUACUAAUAAUGUUAUUUAGUUAUUUGAACUUAUGGAACAACAAAGCACGUUGAUACACUUGUAUUAUUCGUUAAAACAAAUUAUGAGACCUAAAGUGAAACGGAACACAUGUCGAAUAUUUGAGCAUGAUGUCCAUAUCAAGAGGCUAAUCUUUCCAACUCUUGAGAGAAUUGAUAAGAUGAUUCAUCUGUUCGUAUCAUUAUAGAAUAAAGUAUAUAUGGAUUCUACCAAGUAGAAAUCAUUCUUUAUCCUAUGAUAAUGAAAUAAUUAGCCUCCAUACAAAUUGAUUAUUGAAAUUCCAAUUGCACUAUUUGAGUCUCUGAUAUUGAAUUGUAAACAGCAUAGUGGUUCUUCUAACCAUUUUAGCAGUGACUAAAA
Non-coding RNA from Arachis ipaensis, 1724 nucleotides. The record is from RefSeq and is a predicted model, not a curated record. NCBI's taxonomy places the organism in Eukaryota, Viridiplantae, Streptophyta, Magnoliopsida, Fabales, Fabaceae.